GAGUUUGAUCCUGGCUCAGGACGAACGCUGGCGGCGUGCCUAAUACAUGCAAGUCGAGCGCAGAGGUAUUUAGCUUGCUAGAUACUGAUGAGCGGCGAACGGGUGAGUAACGCGUGGAUAACCUGCCUUAUAGAGGGGGAUAACUAUUGGAAACGAUAGCUAAUACCGCAUAACAACUUAGUACUCAUGUACUAAGUUUAAAAGUAGCAAUUGCUACGCUGUGAGAUGGAUCCGCGUUGUAUUAGCUAGUUGGUAAGGUAACGGCUUACCAAGGCGAUGAUACAUAGCCGACCUGAGAGGGUGAUCGGCCACACUGGGACUGAGACACGGCCCAGACUCCUACGGGAGGCAGCAGUAGGGAAUCUUCGGCAAUGGACGGAAGUCUGACCGAGCAACGCCGCGUGAGUGAAGAAGGUUUUCGGAUCGUAAAACUCUGUUGUAAGAGAAGAACACUGAGGAGAGUGGAAAGCUCCUUAGUUGACGGUAACUUACUAGAAAGUCACGGCUAACUACGUGCCAGCAGCCGCGGUAAUACGUAGGUGGCAAGCGUUGUCCGGAUUUAUUGGGCGUAAAGCGAGCGCAGGCGGAUCAUUAAGUCUGAUGUAAAAGGCAAUGGCUUAACCAUUGUAAGCAUUGGAAACUGGUGACCUUGAGUGCAGUAGAGGAGAGUGGAAUUCCAUGUGUAGCGGUGAAAUGCGUAGAUAUAUGGAGGAACACCGGUGGCGAAAGCGGCUCUCUGGACUGUAA
RNAcentral lists this ribosomal RNA (747 nucleotides) under uncultured Streptococcaceae bacterium. RNAcentral's name for it is "bacterial SSU rRNA". It matches the Rfam family "Bacterial small subunit ribosomal RNA", at positions 9 to 739 of the family's 1533-position model. The record is from RNAcentral. Lineage: Bacteria; Bacillati; Bacillota; Bacilli; Lactobacillales; Streptococcaceae.